AUACUCUGGUUUCUCUUCAGAUCGUAUAAAUCUUUCGCCUUUUACUAAAGAUUUCCGUGGAGAGGAACAGUUGUGAGUUUUAACCCAAUUUUUUGAAGCCUCGUUGGAAAGAGGCU
This is a small nuclear RNA of Ursus americanus (American black bear), 116 nucleotides long. Its record names the gene U5. It matches the Rfam family "U5 spliceosomal RNA". Rfam says of the family: U5 RNA is a component of both types of known spliceosome. The precise function of this molecule is unknown, though it is known that the 5' loop is required for splice site selection and p220 binding, and that both the 3' stem-loop and the Sm site are important for Sm protein binding and cap methylation. Lineage: Eukaryota; Metazoa; Chordata; Mammalia; Carnivora; Ursidae. The record is from Ensembl.